This 66-nucleotide transfer RNA is filed under the name Actornithophilus hoplopteri. Its description in RNAcentral is "tRNA-Phe". The record is from RNAcentral. Lineage: Eukaryota; Metazoa; Arthropoda; Insecta; Psocodea; Menoponidae.
GUUUAGAUAGCUUAAGAAAAGCCUAGUACUGAAGCUACUAAGAUAGAAGCCUCCUUCUUUUAGACA